UGAAAGCCUCCCAAGCCCGGGCACAACACAUACCCCGAUACCUCAGGCGCCAAGGAACUGCGACAGAGCGAGAGCGCCUUACGCCGAUUGCACCCGAAAUGACUCUCGACAACGGAUAUCUCAGCUCUCGCAUCGAUGAAGAACGUAGUGGAAUGCGAUGCUUGGUGUGAAUUGCAGAAUCCUGUGAACUAUUGAGUCUUUGAAUGUAAGUUAUGCCCCAUGCUAUUAGGCCGAGGGCACGCCUGCCUGGGCGUCAGGCAACGUCGCCGCCACCUCACGCGGGGCGCCGCAAAUGAUGGCCUCCCCGAGGCUCUAUCCCCCAGCUGGACGAAAUCACUGCCUAGCGCGAUGGCGGCCAUGAUCCAGCGGGACGUUCGAGACCGAACGUGAUCGCAUAAUCCCAAUGGGAGGGCGGGACCCCGAAUCCCACGGCGACCCCAGGUCAGGCGG
This 450-nucleotide unclassified non-coding RNA is filed under the name Anadenanthera colubrina var. cebil. RNAcentral's name for it is "sequence contains ITS1, 5.8S rRNA gene, ITS2". The stretch from base 101 to 256 matches the Rfam family "5.8S ribosomal RNA". The record is from RNAcentral. Lineage: Eukaryota; Viridiplantae; Streptophyta; Magnoliopsida; Fabales; Fabaceae.